AACGAACGCUGGCGGCAGGCCUAACACAUGCAAGUCGAACGCUCUAGCAAUAGAGAGUGGCAGACGGGUGAGUAACGCGUGGGAAACUUCCUAGGGGUACGGAAUAGCUCAGGGAAACUUGGGGUAAUACCGUAUGAUGCCGAGAGGCCAAAGAUUCUAUCGCCCUUAGAUGUGCCCGCGUCGGAUUAGCUAGUUGGUGAGGUAACGGCCCACCAAGGCGACGAUCCGUAGCUGGUUUGAGAGAAUGACCAGCCACACUGGGACUGAGACACGGCCCAGACUCCUACGGGAGGCAGCAGUGGGGAAUCUUGGACAAUGGGCGCACGCCUGAUCCAGCCAUGCCGCGUGAGUGACGAAGGCCUUAGGGUUGUAAAGCUCUUUUGCCGGGGACGAUAAUGACGGUACCCGGAGAAUAAGUCCCGGCUAACUUCGUGCCAGCCGCCGCCGUAA
Molecule: ribosomal RNA, 450 nt
Filed under: uncultured bacterium
Lineage: Bacteria
Description: partial 16S ribosomal RNA
Rfam family: Bacterial small subunit ribosomal RNA
Source: RNAcentral